CAGCCGCCGCGGUAAUACGGAGGAUUCAAGCGUUAUCCGGAAUCAUUGGGUUUAAAGGGUCCGUAGGCGGCUUUAUAAGUCAGUGGUGAAAUCUCCCCGCUCAACGGGGAAACGGCCAUUGAUACUGUAGGACUUGAAUUAUUGGGAAGUAACUAGAAUAUGUAGUGUAGCGGUGAAAUGCUUAGAGAUUACAUGGAAUACCAAUUGCGAAGGCAGGUUACUACUAAUUGAUUGACGCUGAUGGACGAAAGCGUGGGUAGCGAACAGGAUUAGAUACCCUGGUAGUCCACGCCGUAGACGAUGGAUACUAGCUGUUGGGAGCGAUCUCAGUGGCUAAGCGAAAGUGAUAAGUAUCCCACCUGGGGAGUACGUUCGCAAGAAUGAAACUCAAAGGAAUUGACGG
This 403-nucleotide ribosomal RNA is filed under the name uncultured bacterium. Its description in RNAcentral is "bacterial SSU rRNA". It matches the Rfam family "Bacterial small subunit ribosomal RNA", at positions 509 to 916 of the family's 1533-position model. The record is from RNAcentral.